RNAcentral lists this ribosomal RNA (788 nucleotides) under uncultured Lactobacillus sp. RNAcentral's name for it is "bacterial SSU rRNA". It matches the Rfam family "Bacterial small subunit ribosomal RNA", at positions 28 to 776 of the family's 1533-position model. Lineage: Bacteria; Bacillati; Bacillota; Bacilli; Lactobacillales; Lactobacillaceae. The record is from RNAcentral.
GACGAACGCUGGCGGCGUGCCUAAUACAUGCAAGUCGAGCGAGCUUGCCUAGAUGAAUUUGGUGCUUGCACCAAAUGAAACUAGAUACAAGCGAGCGGCGGACGGGUGAGUAACACGUGGGUAACCUGCCCAAGAGACUGGGAUAACACCUGGAAACAGAUGCUAAUACCGGAUAACAACACUAGACGCAUGUCUAGAGUUUAAAAGAUGGUUCUGCUAUCACUCUUGGAUGGACCUGCGGUGCAUUAGCUAGUUGGUAAGGUAACGGCUUACCAAGGCAAUGAUGCAUAGCCGAGUUGAGAGACUGAUCGGCCACAUUGGGACUGAGACACGGCCCAAACUCCUACGGGAGGCAGCAGUAGGGAAUCUUCCACAAUGGACGCAAGUCUGAUGGAGCAACGCCGCGUGAGUGAAGAAGGGUUUCGGCUCGUAAAGCUCUGUUGGUAGUGAAGAAAGAUAGAGGUAGUAACUGGCCUUUAUUUGACGGUAAUUACUUAGAAAGUCACGGCUAACUACGUGCCAGCAGCCGCGGUAAUACGUAGGUGGCAAGCGUUGUCCGGAUUUAUUGGGCGUAAAGCGAGUGCAGGCGGUUCAAUAAGUCUGACGUGAAAGCCUUCGGCUCAACCGGAGAAUUGCAUCAGAAACUGUUGAACUUGAGUGCAGAAGAGGAGAGUGGAACUCCAUGUGUAGCGGUGGAAUGCGUAGAUAUAUGGAAGAACACCAGUGGCGAAGGCGGCUCUCUGGUCUGCAACUGACGCUGAGGCUCGAAAGCAUGGGUAGCGAACAGG